GAUGAACUACAGGAUUCCCCUAGUAACGGCGAGUGAAGCGGGAUGAGCUCAAAUUUAAAAUCUGUGUCGAGCCUCAGGUCGUCCGAGUUGUAGUCUAGAGAAUCGUUUUCCGCGUUGGCCUGUGUACAAGUCCCUUGGAACAGGGCGUCAUAGAGGGUGAGAAUCCCGUCCUUGACACAGACUACCAAUGCUUUGUGAUGCGAUCUCGAAGAGUCGAGUUGUUUGGGAAUGCAGCUCAAAAUGGGUGGUAAAUUCCAUCUAAAGCUAAAUAUUGGCGAGAGACCGAUAGCGAACAAGUACCGUGAGGGAAAGAUGAAAAGCACUUUGGAAAGAGAGUUAAACAGUACGUGAAAUUGUUAAAAGGGAAACGAUUGAAGUCAGUCAUGCUUUCCGAGACUCAGCCGAUUCUGUCGGUGUACUUCUCGGUUGGCAGGCCAGCAUCAGUUUCGAUCUGUGGAAAAGGUUGGAGGGAACGUGGCAUCCUCGGAUGUGUUAUAGCCCUUCUUCGAAUACAUAGAGCGGGACUGAGGAACGCAGCGCGCCUUUUAUUAGGUUGGCCCUCGGGUACAUACGCGCUUAGGAUGCUGGCAUAAUGGCUUUAAACGACCCGUCUUGAAACACGGACCAAGGAGUCUAACAUGUUUGCGAGUGUUUGGGUGGUAAACCCGAACGCGUAAUUAAAGUGAAUGCAGGUGGGAUCCGCAAGGAGCACCAUCGACCGAUCUGGAUCUUUUGUGAUGGAUUUGAG
RNAcentral lists this ribosomal RNA (748 nucleotides) under Mrakia frigida. Its description in RNAcentral is "LSU rRNA". It matches the Rfam family "Eukaryotic large subunit ribosomal RNA", at positions 56 to 794 of the family's 3401-position model. The record is from RNAcentral. Lineage: Eukaryota; Fungi; Basidiomycota; Tremellomycetes; Cystofilobasidiales; Mrakiaceae.